GACGUAGGGGGCCAGCGUUGCUCGGAAUUACUGGGCGUAAAGAGCUCGUAGGCGGUUUGUCGCGUCUGCUGUGAAAACCUAAGGCUCAACCUUGGGCUUGCAGUGGGUACGGGCAGACUAGAGUGCGGUAGGGGUGACUGGAAUUCCUGGUGUAGCGGUGGAAUGCGCAGAUAUCAGGAGGAACACCGAUGGCGAAGGCAGGUCACUGGGCCGCAACUGACGCUGGAGGAGCGGAAAAGCAUGGGGAGCGAACAGG
Molecule: ribosomal RNA, 256 nt
Filed under: uncultured bacterium
Lineage: Bacteria
Description: partial 16S ribosomal RNA
Rfam family: Bacterial small subunit ribosomal RNA
Source: RNAcentral